This 491-nucleotide ribosomal RNA is filed under the name uncultured bacterium. RNAcentral's name for it is "partial 16S ribosomal RNA". It matches the Rfam family "Bacterial small subunit ribosomal RNA", at positions 29 to 507 of the family's 1533-position model. The record is from RNAcentral.
GUGAACGCUGGCGGUAGGCCUAACCCAUGCAAGUCGAACGGCAGCACAGUAAGAGCUUGCUCUUACGGGUGGCGAGUGGCGGACGGGUGAGGAAUACAUCGGAAUCUACUUUUUCGUGGGGGAUAACGUAGGGAAACUUACGCUAAUACCGCAUACGACCUACGGGUGAAAGCAGGGGAUCUUCGGACCUUGCGCGAUUGAAUGAGCCGAUGUCGGAUUAGCUAGUUGGCGGGGUAAAGGCCCACCAAGGCGACGAUCCGUAGCUGGUCUGAGAGGAUGAUCAGCCACACUGGAACUGAGACGCGGUCCAGACUCCUACGGGAGGCAGCAGUGGGGAAUAUUGGACAAUGGGCGCAAGCCUGAUCCAGCCAUACCGCGUGGGUGAAGAAGGCCUUCGGGUUGUAAAGCCCUUUUGUUGGGAAAGAAAAGCAGCAGGUUAAUACCCCGCUGUUCUGACGGUACCCAAAGAAUAAGCACCGGCUAACUUCGUG